Molecule: ribosomal RNA, 934 nt
Filed under: uncultured archaeon
Lineage: Archaea
Description: bacterial SSU rRNA
Rfam family: Archaeal small subunit ribosomal RNA
Source: RNAcentral
UUCCGGUUGAUCCUGCCGGACCCGACUGCUAUUUGGGUGAGGAUAAGCCAUGCGAGUUGAAUGGGAAACCUAAAAAUCCCAUGGCAAACUGCUCAGUAACACAUGAUCAACUUGCCCUAUAGAGGAAAAUAACCUCGGGAAACUGAGGAUAAUGUUCCAUAGUUGAAUCGGCUUGGAAAAGUUUUUCAAUAAAAGGGAUAAGGAAAAUGGUCCUUAUCUGCUAUAGGAUAGGAUCGUGCUCGAUUAUGGUUGUUGGUGAGGUAAAGGCUCACCAAGCCGAUAAUCGAUAGGGGCCGUGAGAGCGGGAGCCCCGAGAUGGGUACUGAGACAACGACCCAGGCCUUAUGAGGCGCAGCAGGCGCGAAACCUCCGCAAUACACGAAAGUGUGACGGGGUUACCCAAAGUGUUCUAUUUAGAACUGUGGUAGGUGAGUAAUGUUCCCUACUAGAAAGGAGAGGGCAAGGCUGGUGCCAGCCGCCGCGGUAAAACCAGCUCUUCAAGUGGUCGGGAUAAUUAUUGGGCUUAAAGUGUCCGUAGCCGGUUUAGUAAGUUCCUGGUAAAAUCGGGUAGCUUAACUAUCUAUAUGCUAGGAAUACUACUAUACUAGAGGGCGGGAGAGGUCUGAGGUACUACAGGGGUAGGGGUGAAAUCUUAUAAUCCUUGUAGGACCACCAGUGGCGAAGGCGUCAGACUGGAACGCGCCUGACGGUGAGGGACGAAAGCCAGGGGAGCGAACCGGAUUAGAUACCCGGGUAGUCCUGGCCGUAAACGAUGCAUACUAGGUGAUGGCACGGCCAUGAGCCGUGUCAGUGCCGUAGGGAAACCGUUAAGUGUGCCGCCUGGGAAGUACGGUCGCAAGGCUAAAACUUAAAGGAAUUGGCGGGGGAGCACCACAAGGGGUGAAGCCUGCGGUUCAAUUGGACUCAACGCCGG